GCCUCUGUGGCUCAUUUGAUUAGAGUGCUGCACUGGAAUUGCAGAGCUGCAGGUUUAAUUCCUGCCAGAGGAC
Non-coding RNA from Paramuricea clavata, 73 nucleotides. Lineage: Eukaryota; Metazoa; Cnidaria; Anthozoa; Malacalcyonacea; Plexauridae. The record is from the annotation of a GenBank genome assembly.